Molecule: long non-coding RNA, 278 nt
Filed under: Fukomys damarensis (Damara mole-rat)
Lineage: Eukaryota; Metazoa; Chordata; Mammalia; Rodentia; Bathyergidae
Description: lncRNA (ENSFDAG00000026517.1)
Source: RNAcentral
CUGCCCCUCAUCAGCAUCCAGUUUUCACGCACACAGAGAGGAAAAGCAAGUAGCUUUAAAGAGGAGCUGGGGAUGUCACUCAGCAGUAUAGCGCUUGCCAAUCAUGCAUGAAGCCCUGCAUUCAAAGUGAACGGGCAAGCUCCUCCCCAGCCUCCAAUGCCCAGCUCCAGCUACUGCUCCAGGAUGCCAUCCUGGCCUGCACAGGCUUCACCAAACUCAUCCAGUCUGGGCAGCAGGCCUAUUUCUCCUGCCUUAUAUGGCGGCCAACUCAGCAGCCU